This 378-nucleotide ribosomal RNA is filed under the name uncultured bacterium. Its description in RNAcentral is "bacterial SSU rRNA". It matches the Rfam family "Bacterial small subunit ribosomal RNA", at positions 28 to 395 of the family's 1533-position model. The record is from RNAcentral.
GAUGAACGCUAGCGACAGGCUUAACACAUGCAAGUCGAGGGGCAGCGCGGGAGUCAGCUUGCUGACUUCUGGCGGCGACCGGCGCACGGGUGAGUAACACGUAUGCAACCUGCCCGCCACAGGGGGAUAACCGGGAGGAAUCCCGACUAAUACCGCGUAGUCCGGAUGGAGGCAUCUCCGUACGGGGAAAGGAGCGAUCCGGUGGCGGAUGGGCAUGCGGCGCAUUAGCUAGUCGGCGGGGUAACGGCCCACCGAGGCGACGAUGCGUAGGGGUUCUGAGAGGAAGGUCCCCCACAUUGGAACUGAGACACGGUCCAAACUCCUACGGGAGGCAGCAGUGAGGAAUAUGUCAAUGACGGGAGGUCUGAACCAAGCCAA